Haliotis rubra (blacklip abalone) is the source of this 169-nucleotide long non-coding RNA. RefSeq lists it as uncharacterized. The record is from RefSeq and is a predicted model, not a curated record. Lineage: Eukaryota; Metazoa; Mollusca; Gastropoda; Lepetellida; Haliotidae. The transcript is spliced from 3 exons.
UCCAGCGAGCUUGAGGUGACGGGAUCGGGCCCACCUGUGUCCGGGUAUAAAAACCUUGGAGUCAACUUUGCGUGCAGACUCUUUCAGUGUUGUCAUAAUACCUAGUGUACAGUACACAACCCCUUGCACUUAAAAGACCCCACGAAUCCGUUAAUAUAUGUCCGGAUGG